GAUGAACGCUGGCGGCGUGCCUAAUACAUGCAAGUCGAGCGAACAGAUAAGGAGCUUGCUCCUUUGACGUUAGCGGCGGACGGGUGAGUAACACGUGGGUAACCUACCUAUAAGACUGGGAUAACUUCGGGAAACCGGAGCUAAUACCGGAUAAUAUUUCGAACCGCAUGGUUCGAUAGUGAAAGAUGGCCCUGCUAUCACUUAUAGAUGGACCUGCGCCGUAUUAGCUAGUUGGUAAGGUAACGGCUUACCAAGGCAACGAUACGUAGCCGACCUGAGAGGGUGAUCGGCCACACUGGAACUGAGACACGGUCCAGACUCCUACGGGAGGCAGCAGUAGGGAAUCUUCCGCAAUGGGCGAAAGCCUGACGGAGCAACGCCGCGUGAGUGAUGAAGGUCUUCGGAUCGUAAAACUCUGUUAUUAGGGAAGAACAAACGUGUAAGUAACUGCGCACGUCUUGACGGUACCUAAUCAGAAAGCCACGGCUAACUACGUGCCAGCAGCCGCGGUAAUACGUAGGCGGCAAGCGUUAUCCGGAAUUAUUGGGCGUAAAGCGCGCGUAGGCGGUUUUUUAAGUCUGAUGUGAAAGCCCACGGCUCAACCGUGGAGGGUCAUUGGAAACUGGAAAACUUGAGUGCAGAAGAGGAAAGUGGAAUUCCAUGUGUAGCGGUGAAAUGCGCAGAGAUAUGGAGGGACACCAGUGGCGAAGGCGACUUUCUGGUCUGUAACUGACGCUGAUGUGCGAAAGCGUGGGGAUCAAACAGGAUUAGAUACCCUGGUAGUCCACGCCGUAAACGAUGAGUGCUAAGUGUUAGGGGGUUUCCGCCCCUUAGUGCUGCAGCUAACGCAUUAAGCACUCCGCCUGGGGAGUACGACCGCAAGGUUGAAACUCAAAGGAAUUGACGGGGACCCGCACAAGCGGUGGGGCAUGUGGUUUAAUUCGAAGCAACGCGAAGAACCUUACCAAAUCUUGACAUCCUUUGACCCUUCUAGAGAUAGAAGUUUCCCCUUCGGGGGACAAAGUGACAGGUGGUGCAUGGUUGUCGUCAGCUCGUGUCGUGAGAUGUUGGGUUAAGUCCCGCAACGAGCGCAACCCUUAAGCUUAGUUGCCAUCAUUAAGUUGGGCACUCUAAGUUGACCGCCGGUGACAAACCGGAGGAAGGUGGGGAUGACGUCAAAUCAUCAUGCCCCUUAUGAUUUGGGCUACACACGUGCUACAAUGGACAAUACAAAGGGCAGCGAAACCGCGAGGUCAAGCAAAUCCCAUAAAGUUGUUCUCAGUUCGGAUUGUAGUCUGCAACUCGACUACAUGAAGCUGGAAUCGCUAGUAAUCGUAGAUCAGCAUGCUACGGUGAAUACGUUCCCGGGUCUUGUACACACCACCCGUCACACCACGAGAGUUUGUAACACCCGAAGCCGGUGGAGUAACCAUUUGGAGCUAGCCGUCGAAGGUGGGACAAAUGAUUGGGGUGAAGUCGUAACAAGGUAGCCGUAUCGGAAGG
This 1503-nucleotide ribosomal RNA is filed under the name uncultured bacterium. RNAcentral's name for it is "bacterial SSU rRNA". It matches the Rfam family "Bacterial small subunit ribosomal RNA". The record is from RNAcentral.